This 395-nucleotide ribosomal RNA is filed under the name uncultured bacterium. RNAcentral describes it as "partial 16S ribosomal RNA". It matches the Rfam family "Bacterial small subunit ribosomal RNA", at positions 523 to 918 of the family's 1533-position model. The record is from RNAcentral.
AUACGUAGGGUGCAAGCGUUAAUCGGAAUUACUGGGCGUAAAGCGUGCGCAGGCGGUUUUGUAAGACAGUGGUGAAAUCCCCGGGCUCAACCUGGGAACUGCCAUUGUGACUGCAAGGCUGGAGUGCGGCAGAGGGGGAUGGAAUUCCGCGUGUAGCAGUGAAAUGCGUAGAUAUGCGGAGGAACACCGAUGGCGAAGGCAAUCCCCUGGGCCUGCACUGACGCUCAUGCACGAAAGCGUGGGGAGCAAACAGGAUUAGAUACCCUGGUAGUCCACGCCCUAAACGAUGUCAACUGGUUGUUGGGGAUUCAUUUUCUCAGUAACGAAGCUAACGCGUGAAGUUGACCGCCUGGGGAGUACGGCCGCAAGGUUAAAACUCAAAGGAAUUGACGGGG